GGUGGCUCAGAGGUAGAGUGCUUGCCUUGCAUGCAUGAGGCCCUGGGUUCAAUUCCUCAGCACCG
This 65-nucleotide transfer RNA is filed under the name Dipodomys ordii (Ord's kangaroo rat). It matches the Rfam family "tRNA". Rfam says of the family: Transfer RNA (tRNA) molecules are approximately 80 nucleotides in length. Their secondary structure includes four short double-helical elements and three loops (D, anti-codon, and T loops). Lineage: Eukaryota; Metazoa; Chordata; Mammalia; Rodentia; Heteromyidae. The record is from Rfam by way of RNAcentral.